Long non-coding RNA from Ficedula albicollis (Collared flycatcher), 639 nucleotides. RefSeq lists it as uncharacterized. The transcript has 3 exons. NCBI's taxonomy places the organism in Eukaryota, Metazoa, Chordata, Aves, Passeriformes, Muscicapidae. The record is from RefSeq and is a predicted model, not a curated record.
CGCAGGGCUUCAGUGUUCUCCCGCACCGGCCGGCACAUCAGUCUGAAUUACUGCAACAGUGAUUCAACCAAGAAUUUCCGAGCUCUUAAACAACAUUCAGAGACCGUUGACGUUUCCCAUCGUACAGUAAGAAAGAAUUUAAUGAACUCUCGUACACCGGUCACUCAGGUUUUCGCUCAGUCCCCUGCGCCGUCCAUCCCAGGCUGGUGAGAGAACCCGAGCUCUGAGUUGCUGCAGUUCGGCUCACACCAUGACGUGUUGUACAAGGCUGAAGAAGUGCUCAGACUGCACUUAGCUGUCUAUCAGUGAUCUACCCAAAGGCCAUUUCUAAUCAAGUCCAGACACAGGCAUACCUUGUGUUAAUGGCAUCAGAAGACACUUCAAUAUCCUAGAUGGGAGCUGAUAAAUGUACAUAUAGGCAAAGGGAAGCCCAUAAUGGGCACAGCACCACUGCUUAUAGAGCCAAGCUUGGCUUUCUCAUUCCAUCCAGUUUCAAAUUCUAGGCUCAGCUGCAGAAGAAGAUGUGAGCUGGCUCUUUGUCUGUGGUAAAGACAGGCCUUGAGGAUAGAUGUGCCUACAGCUAUCCAAAGACGCCUUUUCUCCUUAAAAAAGACUGGUUUUUUUUUCAUCUAGCUGCCA